GCGGUCGCCGGCGGCGGCGGCUCCGGUGACCGGCCGGAGGGAAGGGAGAGGAACUCCUGUUGAGGCGGCGCAGCUUGGUGCACGCUGGUUUCUCCGGAUCGACCCCCUACUCAGAUCUGCACGCCCCUGAUGAUUGGAGGUGUGCCUUUCACAUGUUCGUUGAGUUGCAGCAACAAGGACAGAUGGCCAUCUUCACAGGUUAUGCCCCUUACUGUAAUUUGCAUUCAGUUAUGUGCAGUAAUAAUGCCAUAUUUGUUAGCCUGCUAGCUGUUUCCAGAUUUUUUUAGACAUGAUUGACUGCUUCUACACAAAAAGAGUUUGUCGAAAAUAAGAGCAAUCCCAUUGUUGCUACAGAGCCUGAAGAUUCUUUGCCUUUCUUUGAACGGUUUCAGUUUUUUCUUUCAUAUGGCUACAAUUAUUUGAUUGGUCCAUGUAGAUUUAGGCAACAUGAGAUGAGCCGAUGAUAUAUAUUGUAAUAUACGAUGUCUAUUGCUACAAGUGUUGAUGUCUUGGUGAUGGCAGGUUUUGCAAGUAAUUGAAAUGCUUUUUGAGUAGAGGAUAAUUAGAGAUAUAAUGUUCUACCUGAUCUUGAGGUAAUGAUUAUUGAUAGCUAAUGACAUGAGGGAGAGGGGGACAAGCCCCUUUAGCUACUGCAAUGCGGUUGUGCAUACAAAUGUGCUACUCAUAUUCCACUUUUACACGAGCUAGGCGCGAGAAGCAGGUUCAGAAUUCAGCUCCAUUUGAUUUACAUUUAGAUCAUCUUGCUGCAACACCAUCACUUUUCUUGAUAGCAAACAACAAUUUUUAGUAAUCAUAUAUAGCUUUUCUUUGGUUUGUUUAUUCUAUUAUACCAUAGAUAUCAUGAGAAACUGUUAAUCGCUUAAGGAGGGUGUUCUGUUCACUCAAAAUCAACCGCCUAAUGGUCUGAUUAGUUUAUGUAUGUGAAAAUUUAUUUUAAUAAUUAUAGUUGCAAUUUCCAGUCAAGGCAUAUGUUCUUUUAUACUUUUAUAGUGAGUCUACAAUAGGUUGAAUAGAUUCGAUGAAGUGACGCCAAGCUUCUGGCAUUCUCUGUGACAAGAGAGUGCCACAAAAGCUAAAAGGUAAGUUUUACAGGACGGCGGUCCGACCCGCAAUGUUGUAUGGCGCUGAGUGUUGGCCGACUAAAAGGCGACAUGUUCAACAGUUAGGUGUGGCGGAGAUGCGUAUGUUGAGAUGGAUGUGUGG
Triticum dicoccoides is the source of this 1224-nucleotide long non-coding RNA. RefSeq lists it as uncharacterized. The record is from RefSeq and is a predicted model, not a curated record. The transcript is spliced from 3 exons. NCBI's taxonomy places the organism in Eukaryota, Viridiplantae, Streptophyta, Magnoliopsida, Poales, Poaceae.